Saccostrea cuccullata (small rock oyster) is the source of this 1007-nucleotide long non-coding RNA. RefSeq lists it as uncharacterized. The record is from RefSeq and is a predicted model, not a curated record. The transcript is spliced from 4 exons. NCBI's taxonomy places the organism in Eukaryota, Metazoa, Mollusca, Bivalvia, Ostreida, Ostreidae.
UUCAUUCAAAUAAUAUGUAAACUCUUCUCGAAUGUAAAACGAACGAUCUACUCUGAUAAGUAACCCAAAUAUGGCACUUUGUAUUCGGUUGAAUAGCCAAUCAUUUCAAGUCAAGUGGAGCGGGUCUGCAUCGCUAUUUUGACGAAGUUUGCAACCUGUGGUAAUUUUUUGAAACCUCAUCUAGAUUUAAGGAGAUUCUUGUCUUGACAACUGCUCGAACUCCCGGAUUGGCAUGCACUGCAAGUUGAGUGAAAUCAGUAUGCAGAUUGUGAAGGGAAAACAUCAAGACGGGGCGAGGAAGAUGACAAAACAUGAUUGAGGAUCCCAAAGUUCUUUGGCUCAAGCUACUCAGCCUACCAUGAGAAAAUUAAAAGAUCUGCCAUGAAGAAGAGGCGGGUUCUCAAGUUUCAUAUUAUAGAUGGCAAGUAUUGUUUAGAUUUAAUUUAAAAGUAUUCUUGAUAAAGAAAGGGUGUUUGGCUGUUCAUAGCUAUUAACUGUGAUUGCAUUGUGUAUGAAUUUUCAAAAUCAAUUCAUUCUUUGGUGACCGUGUGCUUCAAAAUCAUAAUUUUUAAUAAAAAUACUGACUAUAUAUUUGUCCAGGUAUAUAAAAUGUUAAUCACUGUAUGAAUUCUAUUUCAGCAUGAUUGUCAUCUUCAAUUUGAGGGACUCUCACCUAAAGUCCUUUUACUGUUUCAUAUCAGGAAAAAGUUCAUGAGCAGAAACACGCUAUUUGGGAAAAAGGAAAAGCAUUAGAAGAAUUCCUGCAUGGGAAGAAAAGUUUUGGACUCUGAAAAGGAAGAUGUGACAAAUACAUUUUGACAGUUAUUGAUUUCCACUGAAACCAAUAUCCACAAGAAAGAGGAACAUAGUAGUUUAAUGUUGAUUCACAACUUUAAAUUCAAGAAUGUACAGUUGGUUUUAUUAUAAAACAUGUCACGUACGAAAAACAUUUUCGUGAAAUGUACUCUGUCUUCGAUACUUAUUUAUGUGUUUGUGAUUUGCAGGAU